Molecule: ribosomal RNA, 447 nt
Filed under: uncultured bacterium
Lineage: Bacteria
Description: bacterial SSU rRNA
Rfam family: Bacterial small subunit ribosomal RNA
Source: RNAcentral
UGCCAGACUCCUACGGGAGGCAGCAGUGGGGAAUAUUGCACAGUGGGGGAAACCCUGAUGCAGCGACGCCGCGUGAGUGAAGAAGUAUUUCGGUAUGUAAAGCUCUAUCAGCAGGAACGAGACAAGACGGUACCUGACUAAGAAGCCCCGGCUAACUACGUGCCAGCAGCCGCGGUAAUACGUAGGGGGCAAGCGUUAUCCGGAAUCACUGGGUGUAGAGGGAGCGUAGACGGCUGUGCAAGCCUGAAGUGAAAGGCGGGGGCCCAACCCCUGGACUGCUUUGGGAACUGUACGGCUGGAGUGCAGGAGAGGUAAGUGGAAUUCCUAGUGUAGCGGUGAAAUGCGUAGAUAUUAGGAGGAACACCAGUGGCGAAGGCGGCUUACUGGACUGUAACUGACGUUGAGGCUCGAAAGCGUGGGGAGCAAACAGGAUUAGAUACCCCCGUA